RNAcentral lists this long non-coding RNA (6635 nucleotides) under Chlamydomonas reinhardtii. RNAcentral's name for it is "long non-coding RNA (CREI_LNC000021)". Lineage: Eukaryota; Viridiplantae; Chlorophyta; Chlorophyceae; Chlamydomonadales; Chlamydomonadaceae. The record is from RNAcentral.
AGCAGUCUGAGGUCAGCCGCCGAACGUGCUGACACCGAACACCUCACGUUGGUGCGUGCUGUGUGCCGCGCAGUUACCACAUGGGCGCCUUCUCGCUGCUGGACGGCAAGAACCUGCCGAUCGAGGAAGACGUGCGAGUGCCGUUCUUCAUCCGCGGGCCAGGCAUUCCGGCGGGGCAGGUGCGUUCGGCAGGUGGUGUGAUGUGCACCUGGGGAGAGCAAGCCAAUGACGCUGCUGCCGGCUGCAAGCCAGGGCGCCGCUAGCUACUUGCCGCUGCUACUGCCGCCCACGGACACACGUGUGCUACUGCCGCCCACGGGCGCACGUGUGCUACUGCGCGCCACACGCACUGCCCUGCACACGUGCCGUACACGCACGCGCAGGUGCUGCCCCACCAGAGCACCAACGUGGACCUGGCGCCCACGCUGCUGGCCCUCGCGGGUGAGGCAAACAGGAAGUUGCUUGCUUGGUCACCCGGCAACACACGCUGUGGCAUGCAGGCUUGACAGUACUGACAGCACAGCCCACAUGCACAAUCAACCUCAAGCACGUGCAAAUUGCAUGCGCACACCUACCACUCCCGCACCCCAUCCCACCCCCCCGACGCCGCCCACAGGCCUGCCCAUCCCGCCCGACAUGGACGGCCUGCCGCUGCCGCUGUCAGAGCCCCUCAUGCGCCCCGUGUACGAAGCACUGCUACAGCCGCCGCAGCAGCAGCAGCAGCAGCAGCAGGAGCCGCCGCAGCCGCCGCCUGCUGUGACGGUGGCGGCAGUGGCCACCGGGCCCUGGCAGCUGCGCGAGGCAAGCAUCAUGGAGGGCUGGAACGGCGACGGGUCGGACGAGAACGCCCGGUAUGCGGCCCACUUCAAAAGUGCGUGCGUGGCAUGCUUGGCGUGCGGUUGGAUGCGGCGUGGCAUUUUCAUUUCAGUGGGCCUUUUUGGGUGCGGCAUGCACGUGGCCACCUGCUGUGAUGGUGGCCUGCAUAGGACUUCAGAUUCAGCAGUCUGCAUGGUCAUGGGCAUGUGCGUGAACAUGGGGUUGCACGUGCGUGCCGGACGUGUACGGGUGUGUGUGUCCUAUCCCCGUCUUCACGUACCGGUGUUCCUCUUUGCGGGACCGCAUGCGCGCCAACCCGUAUCACGGGUACGUUUGUCGUACAAACCACGCGCGCCCCAACCUGUAAGUGUCCCUUCACGCCCACCCCGGACCGCGCAGCGCUGCGCCUGUGUACGGACACGCUGCUCCUGUCCGACAGCGCCUUCGGGCCGGCCGCGGCACGGCAGGUGCCUGUGCGGGCUGGCGGGCCGCCGCUGGUGUGCUACAAGUACACGGUGUGGUGCCAGGGCAACCGGGAGCUGUACGACCUGGCGGCGGACCCCUACGAGCUCAUCAACAGGUGUGAGAGGGUGGUGUUUUCGAAACUGCGCCAGCCUACAACCUGCAGGCUUGGCCUGCACUGCAAGUGUGCUUGCAUAACGCGCGUAAAUGAAUGUCUUGUGCAUGUGUGUGGCCCGCAGGAUCAACGAUGCAGCAGCCCGUGUCGUCGACCGGCUGGACGCGGUGUUGUCGGCGCUGGUGCACUGCAGCGGCGUCGCCUGCCGCAACCCCUACAGCCUGCUGCAUCCGGGCGGCGGCGUGCGCAAAUUCUCAAUGGUGCGGGCACGCACGUCGGGCCGCUAGGGGUCCUGGUAGUCCCUUGGUGUGGCGGUUGCCUCUUCCCUAUCACAAACUGGGGGCUGGGGCGCGCACCGGGGGGGUAUGGUAUGUAUGACGGCUUCGGCAUUGGCUCCGGACCUCAAUCAUCAGCUGUUGCCUGCAUUGCCCUGCGCCCCGUGCGCCUGCCGGCACGCCACACCUACGGUACACAGUUGUUGGCACCCGAGUAUGACGCCUUCUACUCGGGCCUGACCAAGCUGCGCAUCAAGACCUGCUCCAAGUUCUACAUCCCGGAUAAUGAGGUCACGUGGACUCAGCAGGUGGGUGGGUGGGUGGCUGGUGCGCACCACCUGCUGGACGCGCCUCACACCUGCAGAUAGACGUGCGCGCGCAUGUGCAAGGGAGCACGGCCCUAGAUAGGGCCCAGAAUGGCAGCUAGAGGAGACGUGUUGCCAACCCUAAUAACAUGGAUAAUGUUCGACAAGAUAGUUCUUGAUGGUCUACCGUAUGCAUGUUUUUGCCUCGCGCGCAGGGUGUUGGGUCGCGCACACGUGGACGUGGAUGAAGGCACGAAUGCGACAUUGCAGGUAUGGUAGGGUUACACGCGUGGAGGCACGGAGCUGUGUGCGGUCAGCUGGAUGCGGCAGUGAGAUUCGAUCCAGUACAUAGACACGGUGAGAUAGGCACGCAACCGUGUGGAUGCUGCGGGCAGGUGCAGCCGUACGGCAUUUGUGGCAGGUGCAGCCGUACGGCAUUUGUGGUAGGUGGUGGCAGGUGGUGGCGGUGCUGGUGGCGGAAGCAAGGUCUGUGAUUUGGAGCCAAUCGGUGUGUACUGGCACCUGAUUGGAGUUGGGGUUGGGGCGCAUAACGAGCGACGCAAUUCAUGGCCAUGGCAACGCCAGGUGGUCUGCUGUGACAGCACGAUUGGGCUGUCAUACAUAAUGUCCUGCACUCGGUGGCUCCAAUGUGCAUGGAGCUGGUGCCGUGCGUGUGUGAGGAGUGUGAGGCGGGAUGUGUGGGUCCCAACUCCCGAGUACCGUAGUGCGGAGGUUCAGUUCGAUUUUACUUAUGAGGGCGGCAGGCACGCAGGGGUGCUCACUGUGGUGCAUUCCCAGCGCAAUCGGGUGCAGGUGUAUACAGUGUAUAGGGAGCUGGUUGGUAAGCAUGAUGACCUGCAUCAGGUUAAGAAAGGAGAAACAAGGCAGCGUAUCAUCACCGCCCAGGCGGGCCAGGUAGAAGUGUUGUCGUUGUCUUUGUUGUGUGUGGUUACAAGGUGGUGCGCACGACGCGCUUGCUUGUCCCUGCAGAAACCUGGGCCGGGGGCCCUUAUCACGCCAGAGAACUCACAUGUGAUCUGUGCAUAUGGGGGGGGGGGAGGCGUUGGACGCCUUGGCGCCUUGUCCAGGCACUGGCUGGGCGGGAAGCCAGAGCCCAAACGUUGCCAGGCUUGAUGCAUAAUGUAUUUACAUUUCUGACACAGCUGACAUUGUCAUAAUGCCCGAGCACGGAUUGUGAGAUGCCAGGUUUGGGCCGGAACGGUGGUCGCCGUGGCCCUUCAGAGGAGGCACGGCAUCGAGGCCAGCAUGAGGCCGACGGCACUCACUUGAGUGUUCCGUUGCUAAGAAUCUCAAUUGACUACUUAUGUUUCAAUGCACUUCUGAUGUCCCUGGCCAAACGUUGUCCUCAUAUGUCAUACUCGCCUCACUCACUCGCAAAUUGGGACGUGAAUAGCUCAUGCUUGUAACAAUGCAGACAGUAUCAAUCACUUAUGCAAAUUGAGCAACAAUUGCCACAAGUGACAAGUUCGCCGCUCGGCUCGCACAUUGCUCGGCCAUGCGACACGGCCUCUUCUUGCUCCUCUACGCCUUGGUCUUAGGCCUAUCCGGCCAUGCAUGUUACGCACAGCAAGCGGUACAGGGACAGUAUUCGUCGGAACGAAACGACGGAGUCAAAAGCCUCGCCAGUCCUCCUCCUUUCCUCCCAGGCCUCCAGGUGGGGUACUCCUGCGGCUUGCGGGGCCCUCCACGCCUCCAGAUCAACCUCGACCAACCUGCAAACCCCCUCCCCUCCCCUCCCCUCCCUAAUCAAACAGGACCGCCACCUCCUAGGCCAUCUCCCUUGAAAGGGCCAAAACCCAACUUCAUUGUCAUCGUAGCAGAUGACCUGGUGAGAUGCUGUGUCGGGCAUGGACCGCAAAAGUAGUAAAAAACACACUGCUGCAGGACUGCGGGGAGCUUUUACACAAUAUUCCACCCCCACAAGAUCCAUUUAUGUUUGCGCAUGAACUUUCACAGGACGAUGUGUACAACAGCACGGGCCCGAAGUACAUGCCAGCGCUCAACCGGCUCUUGGGAGCCGGCGGCACGCGCAUGUCCAAUUUCGUCGUGCCCACGGGUUUGUGCUGCCCCGCCCGCACCUCGUUGCUCACCGGCAAGCUGGCGCACUGCACAAAUGGUAAGUGGAGGUCCACUACAGCAGUUCUACGUGGCGCACGCAACGUAAGCCAAAAGACAGGGCGCUAGUGUGUGCCGUACAGUGUGUACGGUAGAUGUGCCAGUACGCUGCCAUGACGGCGCGGCGCAGACGCACAGCAGACGCGCACUCAAGCCUACUACUGCAAACGUUUUCCUAUGCAUGCUACAGUAACUACUAAUUAUUACCCUUCUGGCGGCUUCGUUCGGUUCUACCAACAGCAGCUGGACAGAAAGUGAGUGCUAUCUACUGCUGGGCAACCCUUUUUCAAUGUAGGGACAUCGAAAAGGAAAAAAACGUGGAGCGCCAGCAGGGGACAGGGGAGGCGGCGGACCAGGGGAGUGCCAGGGGAGGGGUAGGCGGACCAGUCAUCAUCCUCUCAUGCUGAGGCCCUUCAGUGCGACCCCGACACACGGUGGCGCCUCUUCCUCUUGACCCCGCCCCACCGCUCACUGCACACACACACACACACACACACACACACACACACACACACACACACACACACACACACACACACACACACACACACACACACACACACACACACACACAGCUGGCUGCCGGUCUGGCUCCGCGCCGCGGGCUACAACACUGGCCUUGUCGGCAAGUUCCUGAACCAGUACCUGGAGACGUACGCGCCCAGCGGCUACGCCCCCGCGGGCUUCACCCACUUCGAGGCGCUGACCGUCAACGUGCGUGCGACCCAUGCGUACAGGGCGUGCCAUGCUGCAUGGCCGCACGUGCGGUUCAUCCCAUGGCUGGGGCCGGUUUUGGUUUGGCCCGAAGCCAAGAAGGGAGCUGUGGGGCGGGCGGGCGGGGCGGGGCGUGUGAACGCGUCCGUCCUCAACGGGUGCUGGCUGCACGCUGGGUUACGGGGGGUUCCGAGCUAGGUCCGGCCCGCCGUGCACGCAGUCAUGCAUGCGGUUCCGCCUCCAUCCUUGCAUCAGCUGCGAAAACGGACUACGCACACGCACGCUGUUCGUUAAUCCUGGCCCCGCCCCCCGGCGGCCCGACCUGUCCACAGGCCUACAACAUGACAAACAGUUGUUUCUCACUCAGUGGUGCCGCCAGCACGUGCUACCCCGGGGAGUAUCAGACCGAACUCAUCAUGACCAAGGCUCUGGACUACAUCGGGUGCGUGGGUAUUGCUGGGUAGGUAGGCGUGCCAUGUAAACAUGUUUGCUGCUGCUGGGUGCUGGCGCCCUACCUCAUUACGGGCAGUGCUUACGUACCGUAAUGCGUGCAAGGCGCCUACGUGGGCAUUCCUGCAUGCGAGCAAACAUGAGGGCCGAAAUGUUCCUGCUGCUGUUUAUUUCCGCCCUUUCACGCAGCUCCUAUGCAGCCGCCAACGCGCCGUUCCUCCUCUACGUGGCGCCCACCGCGCCACACCGCUCCAGCACCGACGGCAUCCUCUGGUACCCGCCCACGCCGGCCAAACAAUAUGCAAACCUCUACUCAGCGAGCGAGGUGUGUCGAGCCGGGUGCGUGACUGGCUGGGCGGUGUACGCGCACCGGGUCCCACGCACCUUUCCAAUCACUGCAAGGCGGACGGUCCCUGGUAAGCGCACGCACGUGUGCAUGCAUGCCGCCCGUCCGCACAUGCCUGCGCAGAAUCAGGUGCCACGCGGACUCAAUUGGGACUUCCGCAACCGCAACCUGCCGCGCCGGGGCGCUGUUGCCGUCGACGCCACGUUUGAGGCCUUCAUGGACAGCCUGUACCUGUACCGCUUGCGGGCGCUGCGCUCCGUGGAUGACCUGAUCGGAUCCAUUGGUGAGCGAGCGAGCCGCUACGUGCGUGCAUGUAGUUUUCACGCUUGAUGCAGCUGCGUGCGUGAGUUUUGGUGCGUGGAGGGAGGGGCCGCCUCGGGAGGGCGUGCGUCCUGGCAAAGCCUUGUCGGCGGGUUGCUUGUCAGCAUGGACUGAUGAGGGUUGCGAAAGCACUCUCCUUACGUACCGUACGGCUGUUGGUCCCACCGAUUGAACCUGCAGUGGGCAAGCUUCAGCGGCUCGGGGUGCUCAACAACACCUACGUCAUCUUCACAUCUGACAACGGGUACGUACGUAUUUACGCCAAGCAAGCAACAGAAACAGCCUUCUCCGUCCUCUGUCCGGUCUUACAGGCACCCCGCGCCGGCUGCCCAAAACCCCUUCCACAGCUCUGUGCGUAGCAUAAUGCGCUUUGCGUGUAUUUGCCAAAUAAGCCUCAAGUAAGAGCCUUGUUUGUAUUCCAGCAAUCCUAUCGUGCCUAUCAUUAGCCUCCUUGCAACAUCCUAUCAACACAUGCAUCCCAACUUUGCAGUUACCACAUGGGCGCCUUUUCGCUGCUGGACGGCAAGAACCUGCCGAUCGAGGAAGACGUGCGAGUGCCAUUCUUCAUCCGCGGGCCCGGCAUUCCGGCGGGGCAGGUAAAAUGGAAGCGCUGCAGAGGGGCAUGGCUGCCACUUCUGGUGGUGGUGAUGACAUGGUCAGGACGGAGGAAUGUUGGCGGGAAGGGGAGCGACGCG